AGCUAUUCGAGAUUGCAUAUGAAGUGAUUCUAGGAGAAAAAACUAUUUCAUCCAGAGCUGCUGAAAUCUAGGCGUGUGUUACAUCAACAUCUCCCCUCCCACCCAGCAAUCCAUCAACCAUCUCCAAUUUAUUCUUUACACUUAGGAUUAUGACCAAGUUCACGUACUUAAAAGGGAGAAACCACAGAGACAUCACACUGAAAGUUUCUCUGCUUUGGGCCAGCAGGAAAUUCCAGUUGCUUCAUUCACCGGAGCCAGUUAAGCUGCUGAAAUGAAAUGGAUCACCGGAGAGAUCACUAUAUCAGGACAUAGACUUGACUUUCAGGGUUGGAGGAAGCCGGACAAAGAUGAAUGGGAUUCAGAGCCUGAACUCAAGGUCAACGUCUUCUGAAUCACAAAGAGCUGGUGGGUCAGUCUGGGAGAAGAAAGAAAAUUCUGCGCCAAAUGGGAAAACCCUUAAAGUCUGCAUAGUUUUGCUUGUCGGGUUGUUAUGAGGCUCAAAGGAACGGCUGCUGUGAAAAAACAUGCUUUGCAAUUUAUGAAGCACUGGAUAAACAUCAGGAACGGUAUAAAAGCAUGCUGCUUACUCAAGAAAUACUAGUUGAGUGCCUGUGUGUUGGGCACUGGCUAGAGAUAAGGGUCUCCUAUGGACAGAAGUGCGGGCAAGGAGCUUUGUUCCUCCCCGAUGUCACCCUCCCACAGCCCACUUGCUAGCAGGCAAGAGAGGGGUGGAGGCCGGCAGUAAGGCAUGUACUGAACUGGACCUCUGGUGGAAUGGGUCACCCACGCUGGGCUUGAUUCCACAUAUGGUAUCUGAGACUCACACAGUGUGGUUGGAAGAUAGCACAGUGACCUCCCAGGCACAGCCCUCUGCCAGCCCUCCACUGGCUGCCCUAGGAUGCUGGCCUUCCUCCGAUGGGAGUCGGGCCCAGUCUGCUGUGAGCCAGGAGAAGCCAGCAAGCUCCCUGCGAGGCCUGGAGGAGCCCUUCUCACUCAGCUUGGUGUUCGAUGCCAGUGCCCCCGCCCAUUGUGGGGUGAGGGUGGGACUCUCAGCACAGCCCUGUCCAAAUAAAUCCUCUAAAGCCCUCUUCCAUCUGCAGUCACUUGAGUCUUUUGUAGCCUGUGUGAUUGAGCAUCUAAGCAGUCCUCAGCUAUUUACUUUGAAAUUUCGUAAGUGAUUUUGGUAUCUGUCAUUUCUUGAUGCAUCAGUCACAACUCCCCAUCUAACAUCCCAUUAAAUAAUAUAUAAAACAGAACAAAAACAUUGUGCCAACUUCUUCUAAGAAGAAUUUAAUGUCACUUCCUAAGUUAAGCAGUUGGGCCCUGUCCCAUGACUGUUCAUCUCUGCUCAAUAGUCAUCAAGAGCUGAGAAAGAAGAAAGGAGCCCUGGGGGCCU
This 1396-nucleotide long non-coding RNA is filed under the name Homo sapiens (human). Its description in RNAcentral is "HSALNT0114032". The record is from RNAcentral. Lineage: Eukaryota; Metazoa; Chordata; Mammalia; Primates; Hominidae.